RNAcentral lists this ribosomal RNA (253 nucleotides) under uncultured bacterium. Its description in RNAcentral is "partial 16S ribosomal RNA". It matches the Rfam family "Bacterial small subunit ribosomal RNA", at positions 524 to 776 of the family's 1533-position model. The record is from RNAcentral.
UACGGAGGGUGCAAGCGUUAAUCGGAAUUACUGGGCGUAAAGCGCACGCAGGCGGUCUUUUAAGUGAGAUGUGAAAGCCCCGGGCUUAACCUGGGAAUUGCAUUUGAGACUGGGAGUCUAGAGUCCUGUAGAGGGGGGUAGAAUUCCACGUGUAGCGGUGAAAUGCGUAGAGAUGUGGAGGAAUACCGGUGGCGAAGGCAGCCCCCUGGACAAGGACUGACGCUCAGGUGCGAAAGCGUGGGGAGCAAACAGG